AAUUUUAUUUGCGGACAUGUAAUUUUGCCGUCAGCUGAUUUGUGAUUUCGUUGUUCUGAUAAACAUACAUAAAUAUGACGAUUUACAAGACCGAAGCACGAAUUUAUUCCCCAAAGGCUGUUAAAGAUAUAUCAUCACAGCCGCUUGAGCAACAAUGCAAAGAUUGCGAAGACAUCGGGUGCCAUGAAGCAGAUUGUCAAUUUGACUGUGA
This is a long non-coding RNA of Lytechinus pictus (painted urchin), 211 nucleotides long. RefSeq lists it as uncharacterized. The record is from RefSeq and is a predicted model, not a curated record. The transcript has 2 exons. Lineage: Eukaryota; Metazoa; Echinodermata; Echinoidea; Temnopleuroida; Toxopneustidae.